GGGUUGUGAGGUUAAGCGACUAAGCGUACACGGUGGAUGCCCUGGCAGUCAGAGGCGAUGAAGGACGUGCUAAUCUGCGAUAAGCGUCGGUAAGGUGAUAUGAACCGUUAUAACCGGCGAUUUCCGAAUGGGGAAACCCAGUGUGAUUCGUCACACUAUCAUUAACUGAAUCCAUAGGUUAAUGAGGCGAACCGGGGGAACUGAAACAUCUAAGUACCCCGAGGAAAAGAAAUCAACCGAGAUUCCCCCAGUAGCGGCGAGCGAACGGGGAGGAGCCCAGAGCCUGAAUCAGUGUGUGUGUUAGUGGAAGCGUCUGGAAAGGCGCGCGAUACAGGGUGACAGCCCCGUACACAAAAAUGCACAUGCUGUGAGCUCGAUGAGUAGGGCGGGACACGUGGUAUCCUGUCUGAAUAUGGGGGGACCAUCCUCCAAGGCUAAAUACUCCUGACUGACCGAUAGUGAACCAGUACCGUGAGGGAAAGGCGAAAAGAACCCCGGCGAGGGGAGUGAAAAAGAACCUGAAACCGUGUACGUACAAGCAGUGGGAGCACAGAGCAAUCUGUGUGACUGCGUACCUUUUGUAUAAUGGGUCAGCGACUUAUAUUCUGUAGCAAGGUUAACCGAAUAGGGGAGCCGAAGGGAAACCGAGUCUUAACCGGGCGUUAAGUUGCAGGGUAUAGACCCGAAACCCGGUGAUCUAGCCAUGGGCAGGUUGAAGGUUGGGUAACACUAACUGGAGGACCGAACCGACUAAUGUUGAAAAAUUAGCGGAUGACUUGUGGCUGGGGGUGAAAGGCCAAUCAAACCGGGAGAUAGCUGGUUCUCCCCGAAAGCUAUUUAGGUAGCGCCUCGUGAAUUCAUCUCCGGGGGUAGAGCACUGUUUCGGCAAGGGGGUCAUCCCGACUUACCAACCCGAUGCAAACUGCGAAUACCGGAGAAUGUUAUCACGGGAGACACACGGCGGGUGCUAACGUCCGUCGUGAAGAGGGAAACAACCCAGACCGCCAGCUAAGGUCCCAAAGUCAUGGUUAAGUGGGAAACGAUGUGGGAAGGCCCAGACAGCCAGGAUGUUGGCUUAGAAGCAGCCAUCAUUUAAAGAAAGCGUAAUAGCUCACUGGUCGAGUCGGCCUGCGCGGAAGAUGUAACGGGGCUAAACCAUGCACCGAAGCUGCGGCAGCGACACUGUGUGUUGUUGGGUAGGGGAGCGUUCUGUAAGCCUGUGAAGGUGUGCUGUGAGGCAUGCUGGAGGUAUCAGAAGUGCGAAUGCUGACAUAAGUAACGAUAAAGCGGGUGAAAAGCCCGCUCGCCGGAAGACCAAGGGUUCCUGUCCAACGUUAAUCGGGGCAGGGUGAGUCGACCCCUAAGGCGAGGCCGAAAGGCGUAGUCGAUGGGAAACAGGUUAAUAUUCCUGUACUUGGUGUUACUGCGAAGGGGGGACGGAGAAGGCUAUGUUGGCCGGGCGACGGUUGUCCCGGUUUAAGCGUGUAGGCUGGUUUUCCAGGCAAAUCCGGAAAAUCAAGGCUGAGGCGUGAUGACGAGGCACUACGGUGCUGAAGCAACAAAUGCCCUGCUUCCAGGAAAAGCCUCUAAGCAUCAGGUAACAUCAAAUCGUACCCCAAACCGACACAGGUGGUCAGGUAGAGAAUACCAAGGCGCUUGAGAGAACUCGGGUGAAGGAACUAGGCAAAAUGGUGCCGUAACUUCGGGAGAAGGCACGCUGAUAUGUAGGUGAAGUCCCUCGCGGAUGGAGCUGAAAUCAGUCGAAGAUACCAGCUGGCUGCAACUGUUUAUUAAAAACACAGCACUGUGCAAACACGAAAGUGGACGUAUACGGUGUGACGCCUGCCCGGUGCCGGAAGGUUAAUUGAUGGGGUCAGCGCAAGCGAAGCUCUUGAUCGAAGCCCCGGUAAACGGCGGCCGUAACUAUAACGGUCCUAAGGUAGCGAAAUUCCUUGUCGGGUAAGUUCCGACCUGCACGAAUGGCGUAAUGAUGGCCAGGCUGUCUCCACCCGAGACUCAGUGAAAUUGAACUCGCUGUGAAGAUGCAGUGUACCCGCGGCAAGACGGAAAGACCCCGUGAACCUUUACUAUAGCUUGACACUGAACAUUGAGUCUUGAUGUGUAGGAUAGGUGGGAGGCUUUGAAGUGUGGACGCCAGUCUGCAUGGAGCCGACCUUGAAAUACCACCCUUUAAUGUUUGAUGUUCUAACGUGGACCCGUGAUCCGGGUUGCGGACAGUGUCUGGUGGGUAGUUUGACUGGGGCGGUCUCCUCCUAAAGAGUAACGGAGGAGCACGAAGGUUGGCUAAUCCUGGUCGGACAUCAGGAGGUUAGUGCAAUGGCAUAAGCCAGCUUGACUGCGAGCGUGACGGCGCGAGCAGGUGCGAAAGCAGGUCAUAGUGAUCCGGUGGUUCUGAAUGGAAGGGCCAUCGCUCAACGGAUAAAAGGUACUCCGGGGAUAACAGGCUGAUACCGCCCAAGAGUUCAUAUCGACGGCGGUGUUUGGCACCUCGAUGUCGGCUCAUCACAUCCUGGGGCUGAAGUAGGUCCCAAGGGUAUGGCUGUUCGCCAUUUAAAGUGGUACGCGAGCUGGGUUUAGAACGUCGUGAGACAGUUCGGUCCCUAUCUGCCGUGGGCGCUGGAGAACUGAGGGGGGCUGCUCCUAGUACGAGAGGACCGGAGUGGACGCAUCACUGGUGUUCGGGUUGUCAUGCCAAUGGCACUGCCCGGUAGCUAAAUGCGGAAGAGAUAAGUGCUGAAAGCAUCUAAGCACGAAACUUGCCCCGAGAUGAGUUCUCCCUGACCCUUUAAGGGUCCUGAAGGAACGUUGAAGACGACGACGUUGAUAGGCCGGGUGUGUAAGCGCAGCGAUGCGUUGAGCUAACCGGUACUAAUGAACCGUGAGGCUUAACCUUACAACGCCGAAGGUGUUU
This 2932-nucleotide ribosomal RNA is filed under the name Escherichia coli. Its description in RNAcentral is "23S ribosomal RNA". It matches the Rfam family "Bacterial large subunit ribosomal RNA". Lineage: Bacteria; Pseudomonadati; Pseudomonadota; Gammaproteobacteria; Enterobacterales; Enterobacteriaceae. The record is from RNAcentral.